Molecule: long non-coding RNA, 1377 nt
Organism: Medicago truncatula (barrel medic)
Lineage: Eukaryota; Viridiplantae; Streptophyta; Magnoliopsida; Fabales; Fabaceae
Exons: 2
Source: RefSeq, a predicted model, not a curated record
GAACUUCUUACUUGUUCCAUGCUAAUUUGGUGGAAACAGUAAGAAUAAAAAUCUUGAGUUCAUUUAUGCAUCCACUUUGAUCAUAUGUAUCCUAAAAAAAACGUUGAGGUUAUGAUACUUUAAAUAUACUUAAAAGACAUCUACUUAUGAUUGUACUUUUGAUAGGAGUUCUUAUUAAAAACUAUUUAAUAGAAGUAAACAUUGAAAAGUUCGUGUGAGUUUGACAUAAUUGAUAGCAAUAUUGUGAUAUGCAUGAUCGAAGUUUUAAUCUCGAAUUUUCUACUUAUUCAUGUAUUUAGACACUAAACUAUUUGAUCAAACAAAUUGAACAUAGAGCAGAAUUGUGUCCACUAUAAAGUGAUCAAAAAAGUGUUAUAUUCAUUGCAUUCAAAUGAUGAAAAAUAUGACUAAAGCUAUCAAAUUUGUGUAUAUUAUGAUCUUAUUUCUUCCCCCAAUUCUUGUUGGAGCUGGCGAAAUUCCAUAUCAUCAAUGUAAAUUUGACAUGGAAUGUAUGUUGAUGAAAUGUGUUCCUGGUAAAGUUAAUGUGUGCAGUUUGGGAAGGUGUUAUUGCGUCAACAGUUAAGUUAAAAAAUAAUUAUGCGUUGCACCUAAGCCUAUACUUUUAUUUUUUCCAUCAUAAUGUUGUUCAUUUCUAUAACACUAUAGUGUGUGUGUAUUCUACCUUUCAAUAUUUUCAUUGGCUUAGAAAUGUGUUAAUCAUAUUAUGCAAGUGUUACAUCACCUUCUUUGAUUUUUGCAUAUAUAGAUAUUAAAGAUAAAUAUGAUCUAGUUUUUUAAUACACUAUCUAUGAAUCUUAGAAUUGUGGUCCAAACCUUAGGAGAGUAUCGUCUAAGUUUGAUAUUUGCUUGCAUAUAUAUAGAGAACAUGUAUCAAAUAAGAGGAGUGGUUAUUGUGAGCGAUGAGAGGAUUCAAUUUCAAUCCUUAGAUGAAUAUUAAUGGGUUCAAAUUAAUUAUUGUUAAAAUACUCUAUUCCUUCUUGUCAUGCGCACUAUUCUUCUUCUUCCCUGUUUUCCAUCAUCUUCUUUCCUUCAUUUAUGUCUAGUUCUUCCUCCCACCACAACAAAUUUGAUGAUGCACAGAUUAUUCCACUAUCAAAUCAAAAAUCAAACUUUCCAAUUGCCAUUAAAAGAGAUCCAAUUUAUUAAUCUUCUACGAAACUUCACAUAUGUCCCAUUAAUUUGCUUUUGUUUCGCAAUGGAAUCCACAACCAAAACUUAGUACCGAUCAUUAAAAAGCAUCAGUAAAACAAAUCUAUUAUCCAAAAUUCUCUUUAUAAUUUGAUACAAAAGUCGUGAUUUUCUUUUUGGUACAUCAAAAGUCGUGGUUUUUAAAAUAAAAAAAAAAAUAGAGCUGAU